Molecule: ribosomal RNA, 484 nt
Filed under: uncultured bacterium
Lineage: Bacteria
Description: partial 16S ribosomal RNA
Rfam family: Bacterial small subunit ribosomal RNA
Source: RNAcentral
AUUGAACGCUGGCGGCAGGCCUAACACAUGCAAGUCGAGCGGAUGAAGGGAGCUUGCUCCUGGAUUCAGCGGCGGACGGGUGAGUAAUGCCUAGGAAUCUGCCCGGUAGUGGGGGAUAACGUCCGGAAACGGGCGCUAAUACCGCAUACGUCCUGAGGGAGAAAGUGGGGGAUCUUCGGACCUCACGCUAUCAGAUGAGCCUAGGUCGGAUUAGCUAGUUGGUGGGGUAAAGGCCUACCAAGGCGACGAUCCGUAACUGGUCUGAGAGGAUGAUCAGUCACACUGGAACUGAGACACGGUCCAGACUCCUACGGGAGGCAGCAGUAGGGAAUAUUGGACAAUGGGCGAAAGCCUGAUCCAGCCAUGCCGCGUGUGUGAAGAAGGUCUUCGGAUUGUAAAGCACUUUAAGUUGGGAGGAAGGGCAGUAAGUUAAUACCUUGCUGUUUUGACGUUACCAACAGAAUAAGCACCGGCUAACUUCGUG